Molecule: ribosomal RNA, 459 nt
Filed under: uncultured bacterium
Lineage: Bacteria
Description: partial 16S ribosomal RNA
Rfam family: Bacterial small subunit ribosomal RNA
Source: RNAcentral
CCUACGGGCGGCAGCAGUGAGGAAUAUUGGUCAAUGGGCGCAAGCCUGAACCAGCCAAGUCGCGUGAGGGAUGACGGCCCUAUGGGUUGUAAACCUCUUUUGUCAGGGAGCAAAGGCCGCCACGUGUAGCGGUUUGCGAGUAACUUAAGAAAAAGCAUCGGCUAACUCCGUGCCAGCAGCCGCGGUAAUACGGAGGAUGCGAGCGUUAUCCGGAUUUAUUGGGUUUAAAGGGUGCGCAGGCGGAAUGUCAAGUCAGCGGUAAAAUUGCGGGGCUCAACCCCGCCGUGCCGUUGAAACUGGCGUUCUUGAGUGAGCGAGAAGUAUGCGGAAUGCGUGGUGUAGCGGUGAAAUGCAUAGAUAUCACGCAGAACUCCGAUUGCGAAGGCAGCAUACCGGCGCUCAACUGACGCUGAUGCACGAAAGCGUGGGUAUCGAACAGGAUUAGAUACCCGAGUAGUC